GACGAACGCUGGCGGCGUGCUUAACACAUGCCAGUCGAACGGAAAGGCCCUGCUUUUGUGGGGUGCUCGAGUGGCGAACGGGUGAGUAACACGUGAGUAACCUGCCCUUGACUUUGGGAUAACUUCAGGAAACUGGGGCUAAUACCGGAUAGGAGCUCCUGCUGCAUGGUGGGGGUUGGAAAGUUUCGGCGGUUGGGGAUGGACUCGCGGCUUAUCAGCUUGUUGGUGGGGUAGUGGCUUACCAAGGCUUUGACGGGUAGCCGGCCUGAGAGGGUGGCCGGCCACAAUGGGACUAAGAUACGGCCCAGACUCCUACGGGAGGCAGCAGUGGGGAAUAUUGCACAAUGGGCGGAAGCCUGAUGCAGCAACGCCGCGUGCGGGAUGACGGCCUUCGGGUUGUAAACCGCUUUCGCCUGUGACGAAGCGUGAGUGACGGUAAUGGGUGAAGAAGCACCGGCUAACUACGUG
RNAcentral lists this ribosomal RNA (468 nucleotides) under uncultured bacterium. RNAcentral's name for it is "partial 16S ribosomal RNA". It matches the Rfam family "Bacterial small subunit ribosomal RNA", at positions 28 to 507 of the family's 1533-position model. The record is from RNAcentral.